GACGAACGCUGGCGGCGUGCCUAACACAUGCAAGUCGAACGGAAAGGCCCUGCUUUUGUGGGGUGCUCGAGUGGCGAACGGGAGAGUAACACGUGAGUAACCUGCCCUUGACUUUGGGAUAACUUCAGGAAACUGGGGCUAAUACCGGAUAGGAGCUCCGGCUGCAUGGUGGGGGUUGGAAAGUUUCGGCGGUUGGGGAUGGACUCGCGGCUUAUCAGCUUGUUGGUGGGGUAGUGGCUUACCAAGGCUUCGACGGGUAGCCGGCCUGAGAGGGUGACCGGCCACAAUGGGACUGAGAUACGGCGCAGACUCCUACGGGAGGCAGCAGUGGGGAAUAUUGCACAAUGGGCGGAAGCCUGAUGCAGAAACGCCGCGUGCGGGAUGAAGGCCUUCGGGUUGUAAACCGCUUUCGCCUGUGACGAAGCGUGAGUGACGGUAAUGGGUAAAGAAGCACCGGCUAACUACGUG
RNAcentral lists this ribosomal RNA (468 nucleotides) under uncultured bacterium. RNAcentral describes it as "partial 16S ribosomal RNA". It matches the Rfam family "Bacterial small subunit ribosomal RNA", at positions 28 to 507 of the family's 1533-position model. The record is from RNAcentral.